This 476-nucleotide ribosomal RNA is filed under the name uncultured bacterium. RNAcentral's name for it is "bacterial SSU rRNA". It matches the Rfam family "Bacterial small subunit ribosomal RNA", at positions 1 to 526 of the family's 1533-position model. The record is from RNAcentral.
UUAGAGUUUGAUCCUGGCUCAGAGCGAACGCUGGCGGCAGGCUUAACACAUGCAAGUCGAACGGGCGUAGCAAUACGUCAGUGGCAGACGGGUGAGUAACGCGUGGGAACAUACCUCUUGGUUCGGAACAACACAGGGAAACUUGUGCUAAUACCGGAUAAGCCCUUACGGGGAAAGAUUUAUCGCCGAGAGAUUGGCCCGCGUCUGAUUAGCUAGUUGGUGGGGUAAAGGCCCACCAAGGCGACGAUCAGUAGCUGGUCUGAGAGGAUGAUCAGCCACAUCGGGACUGAGACACGGCCCAAACUCCUACGGGAGGCAGCAGUGGGGAAUAUUGGACAAUGGGCGCAAGCCUGAUCCAGCCAUGCCGCGUGGAUGAUGAAGGCCCUAGGGUUGUAAAGUCCUUUUAACGGGGAAGAUAAUGACGGUACCCGUAGAAUAAGCCCCGGCUAACUUCGUGCCAGCAGCCGCGGUACGCC